RNAcentral lists this non-coding RNA (45 nucleotides) under Schistosoma margrebowiei. Lineage: Eukaryota; Metazoa; Platyhelminthes; Trematoda; Strigeidida; Schistosomatidae. The record is from RNAcentral.
AUCCAGCUGACGAGUCCUAAAUAGGACGAAAUGCACGUGCUGGAU